Molecule: ribosomal RNA, 116 nt
Filed under: Peribacillus loiseleuriae
Lineage: Bacteria; Bacillati; Bacillota; Bacilli; Caryophanales; Bacillaceae
Source: RNAcentral
UCUGGUAAUGAUAGCAAAGAGGUCACACCCGUUCCCAUUCCGAACACGGAAGUUAAGCUCUUUAGCGCCGAUGGUAGUUGGGGGUCUCCCCCUGUGAGAGUAGGACGUUGCCAGGC